GGUUUCCCUUUACGAAUUGUAGUUUAAAGAAGUGUUUUCUGUUGAGGUUUUGGUAAAAGUUCUUUGGAAUAGGACAUCAUAGAGGGUGAGAAUCCCGUAUUUGACCUUUACUUUCAACUUUGUGAUACACUUUCAAAGAGUCGGAUUGUUUGGGAAUGCAGUCCAAAAUGGGUGGUAAAUUUCAUCUAAAGCUAAAUAUUGGCGAGAGACCGAUAGCGAACAAGUACCGUGAGGGAAAGAUGAAAAGAACUUUGAAAAGAGAGUUAAACAGUACGUGAAAUUGUCAAAAGGGAAGCGUUUGACACCAGUGUUGUUUUUCUGAAAAUCAAUUAACGAACUGUUUAUGCUAAGUUGUUUAGACUUUAUCAGCUAACUGUUUAGUUUUGAGCUUUUCUUU
RNAcentral lists this ribosomal RNA (397 nucleotides) under uncultured Neocallimastigomycetes. RNAcentral describes it as "eukaryotic LSU rRNA". It matches the Rfam family "Eukaryotic large subunit ribosomal RNA", at positions 127 to 516 of the family's 3401-position model. Lineage: Eukaryota; Fungi; Neocallimastigomycota; Neocallimastigomycetes. The record is from RNAcentral.